AAUACCCCAAAGUGGAAUUGCUGAAUUGUAUGGUACUUUUUAAUUUUCUGAGGAACCUUCAUACCAUGUUCCAUAAUGACCACACCAAUUUACCACCAACAGUGCCUCACACACCUACCCCAACCACGGCCAGGGAUUGAACCUGUAACCCAGCCCAGGUCUUUUCAGAAGCUUCAUGAAAGAGGCUGUCCUGCACUGAGUCUUCACACAUGGGAUCUUGAGACAUGUGGGGUUUGAUAGGCAGAGAAUGUAGGAAACAGCAAUGCAUCAUCAAGACUAAAAAAUUAAGAACACAAACUCAUAUUCUAUUGGACCAAUUAAAUAUCAGCAAGCUUAAACUGGCAAGUUCCUUUUUUCUAAUUUUUAAAAAUGUGUUUUAU
Molecule: long non-coding RNA, 380 nt
Organism: Eptesicus fuscus (big brown bat)
Lineage: Eukaryota; Metazoa; Chordata; Mammalia; Chiroptera; Vespertilionidae
Exons: 3
Source: RefSeq, a predicted model, not a curated record